RNAcentral lists this unclassified non-coding RNA (504 nucleotides) under Artemisia umbelliformis. RNAcentral's name for it is "partial external transcribed spacer". The record is from RNAcentral. Lineage: Eukaryota; Viridiplantae; Streptophyta; Magnoliopsida; Asterales; Asteraceae.
UUCCUGAUUUUCCCAUCGUUCGGGGCAUUCUGGGGCUGUUUUGGCUAUUGGUUGCUUGUUUGGUCUUGAGCUGAACGGGUGGCUUCUAGUCCGGUGGCUUCGGGGAUGUUGUCCGUAAAGGUGGAUGAGUGGUGUUUGGUUUGUUACGUGUGGUUGGCUGCGGCGUUUGCAACAACUUCCAUGCUUUCAGACCUCUUCAGUUGUGCGACAAGGCUUGUAUCGCCUUGAGCGUACUGCGGGUUUUCUGUGUUGGCUACCUAAUCAACGGUAUCGGUUGGAUUGAUCAAAGUUUGAUUUCUUCUUUCGUCGCAUUCGCGGCGUGAGGCGAACCUCGAUGCGGUCUCUUUGAUCCACCUCGUUGAAGCACGUGCUUCGACGUUGUGGCACAUUGAGCAUUGCUUGGUCUCUUGUAUACGGAACAUAUAGUGGGCAUGGAUCUAACGAUCCUCGUUUGCUCUCAUAUUAGCGUAACGCUUCUCUAACACGACUUGCGCCAUGUUUUAG